This 259-nucleotide ribosomal RNA is filed under the name uncultured Staphylococcus sp. Its description in RNAcentral is "partial 16S ribosomal RNA". It matches the Rfam family "Bacterial small subunit ribosomal RNA", at positions 103 to 354 of the family's 1533-position model. Lineage: Bacteria; Bacillati; Bacillota; Bacilli; Caryophanales; Staphylococcaceae. The record is from RNAcentral.
CGGGUGAGUAACACGUGGAUAACCUACCUAUAANACUGGGAUAACUUCGGGAAACCGGAGCUAAUACCGGAUAAUAUUUUGAACCGCAUGGUUCAAAAGUGAAAGACGGUCUUGCUGUCACUUAUAGAUGGAUCCGCGCUGCAUUAGCUAGUUGGUAAGGUAACGGCUUACCAAGGCAACGAUGCAUAGCCGACCUGAGAGGGUGAUCGGCCACACUGGAACUGAGACACGGUCCAGACUCCUACGGGAGGCAGCAGAG